This 393-nucleotide ribosomal RNA is filed under the name uncultured bacterium. Its description in RNAcentral is "partial 16S ribosomal RNA". It matches the Rfam family "Bacterial small subunit ribosomal RNA", at positions 523 to 918 of the family's 1533-position model. The record is from RNAcentral.
AUACGGAGGAUCCGAGCGUUAUCCGGAUUUAUUGGGUUUAAAGGGAGCGUAGGCGGACGCUUAAGUCAGUUGUGAAAGUUUGCGGCUCAACCGUAAAAUUGCAGUUGAUACUGGGUGUCUUGAGUACAGUAGAGGCAGGCGGGAUUCGUGGUGUAGCGGUGAAAUGCUUAGAUAUCACGAAGAACUCCGAUUGCGAAGGCAGCCUGCUGGACUGUAACUGACGCUGAUGCUCGAAAGUGUGGGUAUCAAACAGGAUUAGAUACCCUGGUAGUCCACACAGUAAACGAUGAAUACUCGCUGUUUGCGAUAUACAGUAAGCGGCCAAGCGAAAGCAUUAAGUAUUCCACCUGGGGAGUACGUCGGCAACGAUGAAACUCAAAUGAAUUGACGGGG